Molecule: RNA transcript, 5267 nt
Organism: Haliaeetus leucocephalus (bald eagle)
Lineage: Eukaryota; Metazoa; Chordata; Aves; Accipitriformes; Accipitridae
Gene: NOB1
Gene name: NIN1/RPN12 binding protein 1 homolog (S. cerevisiae)
Exons: 9
Source: RefSeq, a predicted model, not a curated record
GGGCGGGACAACAUGGCGCGGGUGGCGCACGUCGUGGCCGACACCGGCGCCUUCCUCAGCGCCGCCCCGCUGCAGGACAUCGCGCAGAACCUGUACACCGUGCCCGAGGUGCUGGCCGAGAUCCGCGACAGGCCGACGCGCCGCCGCCUGGCCGCGCUGCCCUGCCAGCUGCACCUCCGCCGCCCGCGGCCCGACGUCCUGCGCCUCGUGACCGACUUCUCCAAGAAGACCGGGGACUACCCCAGCCUCUCGGCCGCCGACCUGCAGGUGCUCGCCCUCACCUGCCAGCUGCAGGCCGAGACGGACGGCCCCGGUGGCCUCCGCUGGGAGCCCCAGGAUAAGGUACAGCUCAGCUCCACCCCACGGCACCCCGAGGCCCCCCUGCACCUCGCCGGCUUCCACCUGCCCACCAAGGUAAGGGAGAGGGACGCAGCGCUCCAAGGUACGGCGCUGGGGAUGGGGAACACAGCCCCGCAGAGCCCACGGGCAGCGGCGGGCAAGGGACCCCCAUCCUGCAUCCCCCCACAGCACAAGCGCCCAGGGAGAGGCCAGCAUCAGCCCAGUCCCGAGAAGAGCACAGUCCCAUCCGAGAGUGACGAGUUCAGUUCCUUCCUCUACUGGCGAGCCCCCCUGCCCAGCAUCGAGGAGGAGCUGCAGGAGCUGCUGAAAGCUCAAGCCAUCUCCAUUAGCCCAGAGACCGCUGAGGAGUGCCAGAGCUCUGAGGAUGGGGCCAGUGCUGAGGAAGAGGAGGACGAGGAGAGUGAUGACGAGGGUUGGAUAACGCCCAGCAACCUCAAGCAGGUCCAGCAGGACACAGGGCACUGUGACACUACUCCCGUCGGGGUCCAGGUCGGCUGCGUCACUACUGACUUUGCCAUGCAGAAUGUGCUGCUGCAGAUGGGCCUCCACGUGCUGGCAGUGAAUGGCAUGCUGAUCCGCCAGGCCAGGAGCUACAUCCUCCGCUGCCACGGCUGCUUCAAGACCACUUCGGACAUGACCAAGGUUUUCUGUCCCCACUGUGGUAACAAGACCCUGAAGAAGGUCGCAGUGAGCGUCAGUGAUGACGGGAGCCUCCACAUGCAUUUCUCCCGCAACCCCAAGGUGCUGAACCCGCGAGGGCUCAGGUACCCGCUGCCAGCCCCGAAAGGAGGGAAGCACGCCAACAAUCCUCACCUGGUGGAAGACCAGCCCUUCCCGCAGCAGCGGCUGUCCCGCAAGGCCAGGCAGAAGACCAACGUCUUUGACCCCGACUACAUCGCCGGGGUUUCGCCCUUUGCGGAAAACGACAUCUACAGCCGUGCGGCCAAUCUGCAAAUCCGGGACGCGGCCCUGGGCGCUGGCAGGAGGCGCCUGAACCCCAACGCCGUGACAAAGAAGUUUGUGAGGAGGAGGUGAAGGCUGGGAUGGGGUCCCCUGCAGCAGGUGCUGUGAGGGAAGGAGCAUCCACCCAGGCGUUGUAUGUUGCUGCCAGACGCCUGACGGCUCCGCGAGGGUGAGGCCUCUCCCAGCAUCCUUCUGAAGGCAGCCACCCUGGGCAGGAGCCAGGCCUUCCCUUUCACGCCCCUCCAGUGCCUGAAGAGCAGCCGUGACUGGGGGUGAUGAUCAUCAGGUUUGGGGAGGCUCUGACCUGGGAUGGCCCGCCAGAACCAGGGGGAGCCGCCUGAGCUCCAGCAGCACACACCACCACAGGCACAACUCGGCACGGGCUCCUGCCUUCCCAGUAUUUCCUGACCCUAGCGCCGUACAGUUCCCAGACGGGUUGAUUCUGUACUGAAGAACAGCACUUUCUCCUGGCAGACAGAAGAUGCCCUUGAAAAAAACACAACAAGACUUUACACUGCAAAAUGAAAACUUUCAUUGUUUUAUUCUUGACUGCAGCUGUUUACAGAAAUAUAGUUGCGAGUAUACAAAUGUCCCAAUAGAAGCAAAAUAUUUUUAUUUUUUAAUAUUCAACAAGUUAUCACAGGAUAGCUAAAAACAUAGAUGCAAAUAAAAUAUCCCCUCAUAGAACAAACUGAAAACACCGGGUAUCAGUGCUUUGAAAAUCCCAACUACGAAAGCCAUAUACACAGAAAUGCACAAAGGAAUAUCUGGUGCUACUUUCACAUUGCAGGACAGUGGAAGAGGCAGCUCAGCGGUCGACCAGUGCGCUCCAGGAACACAUGGCAGAAAGGCAGGUAAGCCACUCAAAGAUGCAGCUACUAACAGAGGUAGAAAGCUCUGCUCUGAAGGUUUUUGGAGCUUACUCAUUAAUAAUGAGCUCAAAUGUAAAUAUUUCAAAUAACCUCAUCUCAAAUAGCAUCCACAAUAAAAAAAGCUUCAGGAAUACUGGAAUGUGUUCCCAGUUCUGCAACACCCAGGAAUGCCACGCUCCCUCCUUUCAAAAGGGAGCUUUUCCCCUCAAGUGCCAUUAUCCCGACCUCCGGGACGGCCGCACUCAUGCGUGAGGACCCACCUGCACAAGGGACACACAGGCCAGACCUUCCCCGGCUCACCAAGGGGCAGUUCCAGGGACUAAAAAGAAUUGAAGGCCAUUUAUGCGAUCUGAACACAGGACCCUUUGCUAAUCUGAAUCCUGGAGCAAAUGCAGACAACUGGAAUAUUGUACAGCGGGCUGCUGCUGGGUGUUGGAGUUUUGGAGUCUGAACCAAGUGCUCGCAGAAUGUCUGUGAGUAUCCCACAGCAAGCAAGGAAAUCCUUGGAUUCCCCACUCUUGUCCCAAUACACUUGAAUGUUGUGAGGCAAUUUCAUGAACCAUAACAGCAAAAAUUACAGAUCUCUGGAAACAGCAGAGAUCAGACCUGCAAACUGACGCCUCAAAGAGAAGAAAUGAGGCCAUUUGCUUUUGGUUUGGCAGAAGUGCUUCGAUGAAGCCUGUACCAGGGCAAUAAUGUCUAUCAAUCAACCUCAUGCCAAACUGCAGCAGAACACCCCUGAUUUGGCAUGAAGAGUCAUGGUGGACAAAAUACAUGCUAUUGAUUUUAUGAUCUGUAUUUCUUUCAGGGGGUUUAAUUUCUCACACAAUCUGUAAGAAAUCAGUACAAGUCACAGCAGGGUUCCUCACAGCUAGAAACCAAGGAGAGCUUUCACCAGCUUUCAAGGAAAGAGCUUUCUAGAUAUUGACUGUUACAGUAAAACAUCAGUCAAAAAACAACAAAAAAAAUUAAAGAUGCCUGCCUUUAUGAGAAUAAAGAGAAGAGGAAUGACAGAUUAAGCUUCACCUUCCCGAUCCAAACACAACCCAGCGAAGCAGCAACCGGGAUCCUUUGCUAUGCAAGAACAAUUAAUAACCCUCACUGGGAGAGAGCUGCUGGUUGCAGUCCAGCUCCUCCGGAGUAACACAGCCACCACCAUUCCCUAUCGGCAUGAGCUGCUGGGACACUGAGAAUGGAAAAGGUGCCGAAGUCAGGAGUCACUUGAGGAAAGCUGGCAGGGGAGCACACAGAAGCAGACAGCCACUGCUGCAUUUCCUGAGCCCAUCCAGUGGGCAGGCUCUCAACCGAGGCUGUCAGGUCUACUGUUUAGCUAACACCACAUCUGCAAUUAUUAAUCAAAAUAUAUAAAAAUACAAAAGUGUACAGCUGUUUUCAAACCGUGGAUAUUAGUGACGUUCACAAGCCAAGCAAGUUUCUGGAGCAACGUUACCAACAGCGCCACAUCUACAGUACGGAAAGGUGUUGAUACAACUAUUAAUGAGUUACUACAAAAACCUUGGUAAAUAACCUCAGACUAAGGAAAAGUAGUAUUAUUUCAGGUUUAUAAAAAUGUAAAUAUAACAGUAUUCUAUGCAUGUGUCUACUAAUUUUUUAUAUAUAAUAGAUAUACGAUUCCUCUAUAUACAUAUAUAUAUCCUAGAAUAUACAGGCAUUGCAUAUUUACAUACCUAUACAGAUUAUAAGAAAGGAAAAGCCUCUCCUCCUGUGUAACCCCUCUGAGCCUCAUACUCAACUAGAGAAUUUUACAAGUACACUUUUACAGGAGUUUAUCUGCCACUGCAUUCUUCCUUGUAUCUAACGAACAUUUACCACAUUUCCCACAGUGACCCUCUAUGCUCGAUUCCCAGCCUGCAGUGGGCACAGACGUACCCCUUUGUGGGCUCAGGUGACUACUGUUGUACACCACUGGCAUAAUUGGUCUGAAUAUGAACAUGAAGUGCUCACAAUCUAUCCCAAAAGACUACUCCAAAUUAAAACAAAAACCACAAACAAACAAAGCAAGCAUCUCAGUACUAGUUUCCUUUUGGCUUGUAAAACAACAGAGCUGCCACCAGUCCUCUGGAACACCAAACACACCUAUUCCUUGAAAAUAAAUUUUGCACUAAUGAGAAGUCACCAGUGAUCAGUAUUUCCUCUUCUCACUUUCCACCUACAACUCAUAGCUCAGCGCAUGCAAAGCAAUUCAUUCUCCUCAUUCUUGCUUCUAUCACUCAGAUAAAUAUCCGUAAUUCCUUGUACUCCUCUCCUGUAUUUACCCUGAAAAAGUAACCCAACCAUUUGCCAUACAGAGGCAUGGGAUUCAAAAACUGACAGUGAAACUCUUUUCUAACUCUUAACGAAUGUGCACGUGCAUGCCUGCACACACACGUACGUACCCUUGGGGGAAACUACCUGUAGCUUUUUCAGUCCAGUAACAACUUUUUUGAUUUCACUUUUUAAUAAGUCAUCUUUCCUGCUACUCAAAUUGCAAUUUAAACUAUGUUUUAAGACAAAUGCAAGCUUCUGACUUGUUUGGUAUUCUUUCUGAAGACUCUGGAAAGGUCAUAGGAGUAGAAAAUCUGUUCAGACAAGUUUUCUUUUAGAAACGAUAUCCUAAAUCAAAAUCACAAUAGAAGCUUUUAAAAAAAUAAUAAAAAUUCAACUUAUCUAAAUCAGGGGAAUGUCAACUGAUACAGCUGCCCAGGCUCUUAGUAUUUCCAGUAAAAAAACCUGCCAAAGUUACAAACACUUAACUGUUCAUGCUUUAUUCUAUCUUAAAACUACAUAGGAAGUAACCACCCUGUCAGUAGUUAGAAGUAAUUAUAAAGUGAUUGGUGAUUAAACAUCCACUUUGAAACAGCAAGGCUGAAAUUAUUUCUUCAACUAUUUUUAUGUUAAAAUAAUAGCAAAGCAUUUGGCUUGAAUACCUGUUCAAAGAUCAGACAGUGAAGAGGCAACUGACAACAAAAUGUGGACUUGCUAAUUAAGCACAGAGCACCAGUAACUUCCUGCCAGAGGAGAUGUUUACCUAAUAACUGCGUAUUAUGUGUUAUUCACAUGGGGGUUUUUUAU